Hipposideros armiger (great roundleaf bat) is the source of this 194-nucleotide long non-coding RNA. RefSeq lists it as uncharacterized. The transcript has 3 exons. The record is from RefSeq and is a predicted model, not a curated record. Lineage: Eukaryota; Metazoa; Chordata; Mammalia; Chiroptera; Hipposideridae.
GGCCUGAACAAUAACUCCUGGACUUGGGACCAGAUGUUAUGGGACAUUGGAAAACCACCAAUCUUUAAGGUGCCUUGGGGCUGUGACCUGAUUGUUUUGAGGAGUUCUGCUCAGGUUUCAGUUUGGCUCUUGGCCCUGCAGACAAAUUCUUCAUUGAUAAACCCAAGAAAAAUCAUUAAUUUGAGGUUUGCCAA